Molecule: unclassified non-coding RNA, 407 nt
Filed under: Hevea brasiliensis (rubber tree)
Lineage: Eukaryota; Viridiplantae; Streptophyta; Magnoliopsida; Malpighiales; Euphorbiaceae
Source: RNAcentral
UUUGCAAGAUGAAGAUGGAUCUUUCUGGGCUGGUUCUCAUGAAGAACUGGAUAAAGCACCUGAUUUGGAUAGGGAGUGGGAGAGGAGACGCGACCAGUUUCACACGAUUGGAUAUCGUGAUGGCCUCAUAGCCGGAAAAGAAGCUAUUGUUCAAGAUGGAUUUAAUAUUGGUUUUAAGGAGUCAGUGCUUGAAGGAUACAAUUGGGGUAUUGUUAGAGGUAUUACCAGUGCACUUGCAUGCCUUCCAGAAGGGUUCAAAGAAAGUUUGAUUGAAACACAAGAAAAGAUAAAUAAUUUCCAGACCUUGUAUGAAUCUGUGCAUUCUCUUUCAACAACAGAUGCACUCAAAUUAAUUUACUGAUAAAUGCGAUUCAAUUGCAGGAGAUUUCAGAAGAAGUGACUGAAGC